Gasterosteus aculeatus aculeatus (three-spined stickleback) is the source of this 340-nucleotide long non-coding RNA. NCBI's taxonomy places the organism in Eukaryota, Metazoa, Chordata, Actinopteri, Perciformes, Gasterosteidae. The record is from Ensembl.
GAAGGGGGCCUCCAAUCAGGCAGAGAGGAGGCUGGGAGGGAACCAGGUGGAUGCUGGGAGGGAACCAGGUGGAUGUUGGGAGGGAAUCAGGUGGAUGUUGGGAGGGAAUCAGCUGGGAGGGAACCAGGAGGAUGUUGGGAGGGAAUCAGGUGGGAGGGAACCAGGAGGAUGCUGGACGCCGGGUUGGAUUUUCUGCUCCUGAUUCAUUCAGCAGCUUGUUUUAUGAGUUAAAGUAACCAAAGUAGUAGUUCCAAAUAUUAAACAAUCCACCCAAACAAGAUAUUUAUUGUGUUUUGAAUAAUAUUACUGAAUAUUUUCUAAAUUCAACAUUACACAUUUA